RNAcentral lists this unclassified non-coding RNA (232 nucleotides) under uncultured fungus. RNAcentral describes it as "sequence contains ITS1, 5.8S rRNA gene". Lineage: Eukaryota; Fungi. The record is from RNAcentral.
GUAUUUCAUUGCGUUAAACGCGACAUACAUUCCAUUAGACUUUAUUUCGGUGUGUGUGUAAAGACAUAGAACCACAGCAGGAGGACAGGGCCCCCCAGGCCAUAGAACUACAGAGGGUGCACAGGUGUGAGUGGAUGUGUAAACAGAGCGUGCACAUGCCCCCAUACAGGGGCCAGCAACAACCCUUGUUGACAGUUCGGUAAUGAUCCUUCCGCAGGUUCACCUACGGAAA